Molecule: ribosomal RNA, 497 nt
Filed under: uncultured bacterium
Lineage: Bacteria
Description: partial 16S ribosomal RNA
Rfam family: Bacterial small subunit ribosomal RNA
Source: RNAcentral
GAUGAACGCUGGCGGCGUGCCUAACACAUGCAAGUCGAACGGAAAGACGAGGAGCUUGCUGCGUUUACGUUAGCGGCGCGCGGGUGUGAAACAUGUGUAUAACCCACCUAUAUGACGGGGAAAACCUCGGGAAACCGGAGCAUAUACCAGAUAACCUGCUGAAGCGCAUUGUUGGAUAGUGAGUGUCGGCGUUCCGGUCUCUAAUCGCUGGUUCCGCGCCGCAUUAGGUAGUAGGUACGGUAACGGCUUACCAAGGCAGCGAUGCGUAGCAGAACUGAGAGGGUGAGCAGCCAGACUGGAAGUGAGACACGGUCCAGACUCCUACGGGAGGCAGCAGUAGGGAAUCUUGCGCAAUGGGCGAAAGCCUGAGGGAGCAACGCCGCGUGAGUGAAGAAGGUCUUCGGAUCGUAAAAGUCUGUCAUCGGGGAGGAACAAAUUUGUGAGUAACUCUGCGCGUCUUGACGGUACCUGAGUAGAAAGCCACGGCUAACUUCGUG